AGCAGCCACGGUAAUACGAAGGGUGCAAGCGUUAAUCGGAAUUACUGGGCGUAAAGCGUGCGUAGGCGGUGAGUUAAGUCUGCUGUGAAAUCCCCGGGCUCAACCUGGGAAUGGCAGUGGAUACUGGCUCGCUAGAGUGUGUCAGAGGAUGGUGGAAUUCCCGGUGUAGCGGUGAAAUGCGUAGAGAUCGGGAGGAACAUCAGUGGCGAAGGCGGCCAUCUGGGACAACACUGACGCUGAGGCACGAAAGCGGGGGGAGCAAACAGGAUUAGAUACCCCCGUAGUCCCUGUCUCUUAUACC
RNAcentral lists this ribosomal RNA (301 nucleotides) under uncultured bacterium. RNAcentral's name for it is "partial 16S ribosomal RNA". It matches the Rfam family "Bacterial small subunit ribosomal RNA", at positions 510 to 808 of the family's 1533-position model. The record is from RNAcentral.